UGUUGAUGAAUACUCAAGGUACACCUAGAUUGUUUUUCUUAAAGAAAAAUAUGACACCUUUAUCACAUUUUAAAGACCGUGUCAUCGUGUCAUACCCCAAAUUUUGUCCGAGUUCCUUUUUACAUUUUGAGAAGCUUUUCAUUUUAAAUUGGUAAGUUAUCUCAGUGGGUAAUGCAGUGAGGAUGUGAAGCAUAUGGUCGCAAGUUCAAACCUCAUUGUUUGUUGUUCCUUUUAUUUUAAGAGUUUUAAUUAUAAUUUUUGUUUUUGUUUUUUAUUUUAAAAUUAAUUUUCAUUUUUUAUUUAUUUUAUGCUUUUGACAACUUUUUUUCAACUAAAAACAUUUUUU
This 346-nucleotide long non-coding RNA is filed under the name Lathyrus oleraceus (garden pea). RNAcentral's name for it is "Pisum sativum (pea) long non-coding RNA (PSAT_LNC035515)". Lineage: Eukaryota; Viridiplantae; Streptophyta; Magnoliopsida; Fabales; Fabaceae. The record is from RNAcentral.